This 485-nucleotide ribosomal RNA is filed under the name uncultured bacterium. RNAcentral describes it as "bacterial SSU rRNA". It matches the Rfam family "Bacterial small subunit ribosomal RNA", at positions 28 to 507 of the family's 1533-position model. The record is from RNAcentral.
GAUGAACGCAGCGGCAGGCCUAACACAUGCAAGUCAGGGGUAACAUAGGAAAGCUUGCUUUUCUGAUGACGACCGGCGCACGGGUGCGUAACGCGUAUACAACCUACCUUUUAGCGGGGAAUAGCCCAGGGAAACUUGGAUUAAUGCCCCAUAGUAUAUAGACUUCUCCUGAAGUUUAUAUUAAACAUUUAUGGCUAUUAGAUGGGUAUGCGUCCUAUUAGUUAGUUGGUAAGGUAACGGCUUACCAAGGCAGCGAUAGGUAGGGGUCCUGAGAGGGAGAUCCCCACACUGGUACUGAGACACGGACCAGACUCCUACGGGAGGCAGCAGUGAGGAAUAUUGGACAAUGGGCGAGAGCCUGAUCCAGCCAUGCCGCGUGCAGGAAGACUGCCCUAUGGGUUGUAAACUGCUUUUACAGAGGAAGAACCACCCCCACGUGUGGGGGUUUGACGGUACUCUGCGAAUAAGGAUCGGCUAACUCCGUG